Molecule: long non-coding RNA, 1068 nt
Filed under: Gossypium barbadense (sea-island cotton)
Lineage: Eukaryota; Viridiplantae; Streptophyta; Magnoliopsida; Malvales; Malvaceae
Description: long non-coding RNA (GBAR_LNC008295)
Source: RNAcentral
UAAUGGCUAAAUCAGCCAAAUCAAACUAAACCCCAUUUUCCCCUUUAUCAAACCCUAAAUCUCCCCUCUUAUUGUCGAUUCAUCUCAGUCAAUAGUGCUCUCAAGCCUGAGGAAUGACUUUCAGCCUUGAAAUCUUCCUUUGGCUUCGACUUUAACGAAGCAAAGAAAAGAAAUCCAUGGCAUUUUGCAAGGUAAAACUUAUCUUUUCCUUGUUCUUUUAUUUUUUUACAUGCAAUUGCAAAAGACUCAACAAAACAAAAAAAGAAAAUGGAAUCGAAAAUUAAAGAGACUGGAAAAUGGAGAAUCACCUUUCGAUUUUGAUAGCCUUUUUUGUAUUUCAAUAUGCGUAGUAUGCGUAACCUCUACAAUCGAAUUUCGUUGGCUUUUUAUAGUUGAAAUAAAAAAGAAGAAAAAUGCGAUUACAAAGAGCUUUUUUUUUUUCAUUUUUCUGUCGUUGUUGUUAUUUGCUGUCGUUCCUUCAUUUGUUUGUAGGUACCAGGUAUCGUGGCAAGGCAGCUGGCAUGUACGGGCGUGGGGCGUACGGAGUUCGUGGAGAUCGGGGCUGUUGGGGUCGUUGCGGCGCAAGCAGAAGCUGCUAGGUUUCCUGGCUAUGCUUCUGUUUUGGGCCAUGGGGUAUUGGGUUAGGUUAUUUUGGGUUGGUCUUAUUAAUUGGGCUGAGGUUUGGGUUUAAUGGUUAGGGUUGGGUUUUAUUACUUGUAAAAGGGACUUGGUCAUUUAGUUUUUGUGCUUUUUAGUUGUUUUGGUAUUUUGGUAUGGCCCGGGCUAAAUUGGGCCACUACAAUACUGUAGACUUUAAAGAAAUAGUAAAAUUAAUAUUUCUACUUCGGAUUUGUGAUCUCAAAAUCACUAUUUCGAUUUGACCCUAAAAUGGGCUGUUACAUAAAAUUUUUUUAACAUUAUCAUUAUCAUUAGUUUAUUUGCAUUGAUUUUAUAGAGAUUAAAAAAAUUAAGAUUGAAGAAUACAAGUUAUAAAUCUACAAUGUGUCCAUCUUUUAAACGUUGUACUUAUAAUUUUUUUUAAAAUUUUGUACAAUUACAAUUUGAAAG